GUCAUCAUCUCUUUGCCAGGAAAUGAAUACCAUGUUUCAUCAUGAUGAUGUCCUUUGCUUCUGUACUGUGCCAUGGGUCCAAGGGAAACUGUCAUGGCGGCCUGUUAGGAUCCAUUCUUGCAGUCAGUGAUUCCCUCCUGAUCAUCUUAGAAUUGCAGGAUACCUCAGUUCCUGAAGUGCUGAACAGAAACCCUGAAUGAAUGUUGAUGUUUGGGGUACCUACAUAGGCUGUAUAUGGAAAGAAUCAAAACUAUGUACUGUUUCCAAGAAGAGCGGGAAGGACUAAGCAAUGGGAGUUAAGUGGCUUACCCACAGUCACAUGGCUAGGAAGUGUCUGAAGUCAAAUUUGAACCCAGGACCUCCUGUCUCUAGACUUGCUCUCAAUCUACUGAGCCAUCCAACUGCCCCCAUGUGCUACCUAGCUUCCUUGAGUUCUUGGACCCUGCUAAAGAGCUGUAAGAGGUGGAGUCAACAAGCAUUGAGGUUUCUGGGAGGAAAUGGAACCUUAAGGACUCAGGUAAGGGAAAUUGAAGAGCUUGACCUUGGAAGUUUCAAAAGACAGGAGAAUGAGCUAUCAGAAGUCCAGGUGUCUGGAAUUAAGCUCAUGUGGGAUUUUGCAACCACCCUAGCAGCAACGACCAAGAGAGGUACAAGAUGGCACAGUGGACAUUAG
This 673-nucleotide long non-coding RNA is filed under the name Monodelphis domestica (gray short-tailed opossum). Its description in RNAcentral is "lncRNA (ENSMODG00000035342.2)". The record is from RNAcentral. Lineage: Eukaryota; Metazoa; Chordata; Mammalia; Didelphimorphia; Didelphidae.